RNAcentral lists this long non-coding RNA (656 nucleotides) under Nicotiana benthamiana. RNAcentral describes it as "long non-coding RNA (NBEN_LNC024410)". Lineage: Eukaryota; Viridiplantae; Streptophyta; Magnoliopsida; Solanales; Solanaceae. The record is from RNAcentral.
AUCUAACAAAGUCGAGAAAAAAUGAUUAAAAAAAAACUAAUGGAAUACAAAAUAGCAGGGCCCCAUAAGCAGCCCCAUUGCCUCGUGCGUGCAAGUAUGGCAUAUAAUUUACCAUGUCGCAAAAUCCGACUAAUGAACACACCUUGGAAAAGUAUACAACUCAUAAAACCACCUGUUCUUGAUCGUUACAGCGAUGAAAACUGCAAUAUAGUUGCUCUACUUCACUGGGCAUAAAUGGAGAAUGCCAUUGCGAGGAAAAGUGAGUUUGAGCAUAUUCCAUCUGCGCAGUCACAUCACUCCUCCAAGCAAAGAGUUGAGCUUUACUGGAGCAGAUUUUUGCAGGCUUCAAUAUCAGGUGCCUGUGAAUCUAAUACUCCUUGACCGUAAGGUUAGAGGUAAUAACUCCGGUGAUGGCAACAAACAAGUCCUUCUAUACUCCUUGACCCGUAGGGUUAGAGGUAAUAACUCCGGUGAUGGCUACAAACAAGUCCUUCUGGUAUAGAUCAUCUGUUACCUUCUUCAGGAUCUCAUGCACCAACUUAAAGUCUACCGCCCCUGUCAAAACUAGCUUUGCAACUAUCACCCCAAAAUUUGCUGGUGCUUUUGGUAAAUCCAUUGCAAGAUCAUCCAACAGAGAAGCAAAGUUCACACAUCCA